CAACACAGUCGGCUUCAAUGAUAAGACUGUUGUUGUUUGUGAUCAGGCAAUUGUAAUUGGAGUAAGUACAUUUUUGGUCCCUGAUUUUAUCUGGUUUUUUCGGUUUUGGUCCCUAAAGGUGUAAGGUUGCAGUUUUGGUUCUUAUAUCACUAUUUUAUGUGAUUUUGGUCUCUGGCUUGUCUUAGUUAAUAGCCUAGCUGUUAAACUUUUUUGAAAUAAUCAUUGUGCUUUGGACUAAAAUUUUCUCUUAUUUUCUGAAACACCUUGCACUAGGUAUAGAUAUAAUGUUGGCAACUAUAUGAAGCUUUUAAUAAAAUAGACAUAUGUACAUUUAAAAUUUUAUAAACCUUAACUAAGAAUAAAAAGAAAAUAACAACUUUGGUCCUUGUGGUAUACAACUUGUUUCAGGUUUUGGUCCAAGGUUAAAAACGUCAUUUUAAAAUAUUCAGUUAUGCUGUCUUUUCAUUUUUGUUAGUUAGAUUAAUCCCCUAAUCCAUUUUCCAUACCUUGCAAUGUGAGAGGGAAUAUCAUAUUGGCUAUUUGAGGGAACAUAAGAAGAUUGAUCUGAAGGAGUUGCAACUGCAGUGUCGACUGGAAUACUUCAUUUGGUUCUAGAGAGAUUAGUGGGCAUGUGGCCCGGUGAAGGUCACUGAUUCUCUUACGGGUUUAAUCAGGAAUUCCGAGAUGAAGUGGAUAGUUUUGCAUGGGAAAGAUGUUUCUGAUGAGAACAAAGUAUUGCUUUCACAAGCUGUUGACAUCAUUCAUGUGAAUAAAGGAAUAUUUCAGAUGCAAGUGGAGAUUUUCAAAGUUGAAAAUCAUGGUAUGUUGGAAUUAAAGCACAAUGCUAUUUUAAUACUUGAAUAUUAAUUGUUAUGAUAAGUUGGAAAAUUGUUAAGUGAUGGAAUUGUCAAUUAUUUGAGGGAUUUAAAUACGAUUCAUUAAAAUUGGUGGACAUUUUUUUUGCUCUAAAUCAAAUAAUGG
Molecule: long non-coding RNA, 981 nt
Organism: Lactuca sativa (garden lettuce)
Lineage: Eukaryota; Viridiplantae; Streptophyta; Magnoliopsida; Asterales; Asteraceae
Source: RefSeq, a predicted model, not a curated record